Molecule: ribosomal RNA, 468 nt
Filed under: uncultured bacterium
Lineage: Bacteria
Description: partial 16S ribosomal RNA
Rfam family: Bacterial small subunit ribosomal RNA
Source: RNAcentral
GACGAACGCUGGCGGCGUGCUUAACACAUGCAAGUCGAACGGAAAGGCCCUGCUUUUGUGGGGUGCUCGAGUGGCGAACGGGUGAGUAACACGGGAGUAACCUGCCCUUGACUUUGGGAUAACUUCAGGAAACUGGGGCUAAUACCGGAUAGGAGCUCCUGCUGCAUGUUGGGGGUUGGAAAGUUUCGGCGGUUGGGGAUGGACUCGCGGCUUAUCAGCUUGUUGGUGGGGUAGUGGCUUACCAAGGCUUUGACGGGUAGCCGGCCUGAGAGGGUGACCGGCCACAUUGGGACUGAGAGACGGCCCAGACUCCUACGGGAGGCAGCAGUGGGGAAUAUUGCACAAUGGGCGGAAGCCUGAUACAGCAACGCCGCGUGCGGGAUGACGGCCUUCGGGUUGUAAACCGCUUUCGCCUGUGACGAAGCGUGAGUGACGGUAAUGGGUAAAGAAGCACCGGCUAACUACGUG